AGAGACAGCAGUCGCCGCGGUAAUACGAAGGGGGCUAGCGUUGUUCGGAUUUACUGGCGUAAAGCGCACGUAGGCGGACUUUUAAGUCAGGGGUGAAAUCCCGGGGCUCAACCCCGGAACUGCCUUUGAUACUGGGAGUCUUGAGUUCGAGAGAGGUGAGUGGAAUUGCGAGUGUAGAGGUGAAAUUCGUAGAUAUUCGCAGGAACACCAGUGGCGAAGGCGGCUCACUGGCUCGAUACUGACGCUGAGAUGCGAAAGCGUGGGGAGCAAACAGGAUUAGAUACCCCAGUAGUCCCUGUCUCUUAUACA
This 309-nucleotide ribosomal RNA is filed under the name uncultured bacterium. RNAcentral describes it as "partial 16S ribosomal RNA". It matches the Rfam family "Bacterial small subunit ribosomal RNA", at positions 504 to 808 of the family's 1533-position model. The record is from RNAcentral.